UUGACAGAGCCAUGUCGUUGGUAAUACUGUUGAUUUCACGACACUAUUAUUUUUUGUUAAAGUAGUUUCACACGUGCUGCAACUAUUUUCAUGAAACUCAUUCCAACAUGCAUAACACUAGUUUCGUAAUGUAAAUUCGGCUUAACUUUAUUAUGUUAUAACAUGUAG
Molecule: long non-coding RNA, 168 nt
Organism: Pieris napi
Lineage: Eukaryota; Metazoa; Arthropoda; Insecta; Lepidoptera; Pieridae
Exons: 3
Source: RefSeq, a predicted model, not a curated record